AACGCUUCUACAGUGGCGAGCAAGAUCAGAACAAUCUGACCUCAGACAAAAGCAUCUUCAGUAAUUUACUAGUAUCAGUAAUCGCCCUACUGUAAUCUGAACCUACCCAAAGUCGCCACUUGACAGGUGAAAUUAUCGCAACGUUUCGACAGUGGCGAGCAAGAUCAGAACAAUCUGGCCUCAGACCCACCCAUACUGAGAAGAAAAGUAAAUAAAUUUCUUCAACAAGCAGAUGGAACACAAAAUCCCAUCCCAAUCCCAUCAUCUUGGAAACCACGGCCUCGUCCAUCUCCAACGAAGGGGAAAAGACCACCGAUGUCAGUGUCCAAAGCCAUCGCGACUAGACACAACUUAUUAGUACUUCGAGAAAACAAGCAAGGCCACGAGCACCGCCCGGAUCGCUCUAAAACCUAGGCAGGCGCAGAACCCCUCCUCGACUCCCGACGACGAAACGCCAAACCCUACGCGGACAGAAGAAAAAAAAACGGCACUCCCCUCAUCCUCCCCGAUCGAACGCCACAACGACAUCACCACACUGUGAGGACACGGGAAAACCACCUUGAUGACGAGAUCCCGGGGCCGGCGGCCGAGCGGCACGGGGCCGCGGAGCGACGGCGGGGCGCCCCGUUGAGGCAUCAUGGCGCGAGUCCGCGGCAGCGGGGGGCCUCCGCGCAGCCCCUGCAAGCCUCGGCGAUGCGCUGCACAGUGCCGGGGCUGGGGGAGGAGGCAGUGCGUCGGCGGUGGGGGUGGGGGUGUGGCGUGGUGGGGAAGAAGAAGAAGGGGGCAGGGCCUCGCCGCUCAAGCCCCUCUUUUAUCGAGUCCGUUCCGUUAGCUUCGAGGGGA
This 843-nucleotide long non-coding RNA is filed under the name Hordeum vulgare. RNAcentral describes it as "long non-coding RNA (HVUL_LNC005028)". The record is from RNAcentral. Lineage: Eukaryota; Viridiplantae; Streptophyta; Magnoliopsida; Poales; Poaceae.